Molecule: small nuclear RNA, 103 nt
Organism: Nycticebus coucang (slow loris)
Lineage: Eukaryota; Metazoa; Chordata; Mammalia; Primates; Lorisidae
Source: RefSeq, a predicted model, not a curated record
UGCAUUUUGGCAGUACCUUACUAAAAUUGGACCAGUACAGAGGUGAUUAGCAUAGCCACUUCAUGUGGAUGACAAGCCAAUUCAUGAUGUGUUCCAUGUUAAA